AACGCACGAGACCUGCGGACCUGCGGAAGGAUCAUUAAUGUUACCUCAUCCAAACUUGUUGUCAGAAGGAGGGAGUUUCGACUUUCUUUCUUCUGGCAACAAAAAGCACCUGUGAACAAGGUUAAAGUCCUUAACAGCAUUCUAAACAAAUGCUGUUUAAAAAGCACCUUAUUUUACAUAUGUCUAAAAUUAAAUGAGCCAAGAAAAAAUUCUUUUUUUUUUUGGCGAGAAAAACAUUUA
RNAcentral lists this unclassified non-coding RNA (240 nucleotides) under soil metagenome. Its description in RNAcentral is "partial contains 5.8S ribosomal RNA, internal transcribed spacer 2, and large subunit ribosomal RNA". The record is from RNAcentral.